AAACCAAGUGAAUUUCUGGUUUCUUAGAUUUCUCCUAUUCAAAGUAUUCCAAAAACUGAAGAAAUGUGUUUUUCCCACCCCUGACCAAUCCCAUUUGGUGAUGUAAUUCUAAAGGGAGAAUUAAGGAUUCAUGACAAAUCAGGCUGUUUCCCAGUCUUGGCCCUUUGCUUUGCCAAACAUCAUAUUUUAUUUCAACAGCCACAACUCCUGAGGAUUAUUCAUAAACUGAGAAACGAAGUGUCAGUAGAAGAUGUGGGAUGGGAAGAAAUUUGGAUGUUCCUUAUUGCAGAUGUUAUGUCGUACCACAGGGCAGAAGAAAUGGCCUGACAUCAGAAUGGAGCAGUAGAUUCUGCUGGAGAAGAGGUUGCCCCACUUGCUAGGCAUUUCGAUAAAUUUCUUUAUCAUUCUGAUUUCCUGCAUGUACACCAUUUCUGAACGUCCUGGAGCCUCUGCCCUCAACAGACAUGAUCGGAAAUUGGGAGACAGUGGAAAUAUUACUAUCCAACAUUCAUGUUUUUCUAAAAUGUCACAAUUAUAAUUCAGUAAAUGCCAUAUGUAUUGGGAUAAAAUUUAUAAAAAUAAGGCUUUGUACUGGAGUUCGCAAUUGUAAUAAAGGUACUUGAAGCAAGUAAAGUAUUAUGUGCAUUUAAUGUUCAGAGAGGAAGUAUGUGACUGUGGAUUGUGACUACUGUCUUUUUAGAAUUUAUUUUACUCAAGUCUUGUUCAGUAAUAGCACUUUUAUUUUUCUGUCAGAAAGUUGUGGGCUCAAGCCCCAUUCCAGGGACUUGAGCCCAUUAUUAAUUUGAUGCUUCAGUAAACAGUGAGGGAGUGGUACAUUAUUGAGAUGCUGUCUUUUGGAAGUGACCUGAAAAAGCAAGCCCUGUCUCACUUCUGGGUGGAUGUAAAAGAUCACAGUGCACAAAAUUGAAGAAGACUCAAGGUGUUUUCCUGAUGUGCUGGCCAAAGUACCUGUCAUUGAUUUCAUUACUGUAUGUGAGACCAAAUUGACUCCUGUAUUAAUCUGGAUUACAGGAAUGAAUACAGUUCAUAAAAUACUUAGUGGACAGUGGAACACUUGGAGAUAUCCAGAAGACAAAGAGAAUGCCACAUUUUCCAAGUUCUUCCACAUUUUUCAGGAAAGUUAU
Rhincodon typus (whale shark) is the source of this 1145-nucleotide long non-coding RNA. RefSeq lists it as uncharacterized. The record is from RefSeq and is a predicted model, not a curated record. The transcript is spliced from 3 exons. NCBI's taxonomy places the organism in Eukaryota, Metazoa, Chordata, Chondrichthyes, Orectolobiformes, Rhincodontidae.